UUUUCACCGGAGCUUGCUCCACCGGAAAAAGAGGAGUGGCGAACGGGUGAGUAACACGUGGGUAACCUGCCCAUCAGAAGGGGAUAACACUUGGAAACAGGUGCUAAUACCGUAUAACAAUCAAAACCGCAUGGUUUUGAUUUGAAAGGCGCUUUCGGGUGUCGCUGAUGGAUGGACCCGCGGUGCAUUAGCUAGUUGGUGAGGUAACGGCUCACCAAGGCCACGAUGCAUAGCCGACCUGAGAGGGUGAUCGGCCACAUUGGGACUGAGACACGGCCCAAACUCCUACGGGAGGCAGCAGUAGGGAAUCUUCGGCAAUGGACGAAAGUCUGACCGAGCAACGCCGCGUGAGUGAAGAAGGUUUUCGGAUCGUAAAACUCUGUUGUUAGAGAAGAACAAGGAUGAGAGUAACUGUUCAUCCCUUGACGGUAUCUAACCAGAAAGCCACGGCUAACUACGUGCCAGCAGCCGCGGUAAUACGUAGGUGGCAAGCGUUGUCCGGAUUUAUUGGGCGUAAAGCGAGCGCAGGCGGUUUCUUAAGUCUGAUGUGAAAGCCCCCGGCUCAACCGGGGAGGGUCAUUGGAAACUGGGAGACUUGAGUGCAGAAGAGGAGAGUGGAAUUCCAUGUGUAGCGGUGAAAUGCGUAGAUAUAUGGAGGAACACCAGUGGCGAAGGCGGCUCUCUGGUCUGUAACUGACGCUGAGGCUCGAAAGCGUGGGGAGCAAACAGGAUUAGAUACCCUGGUAGUCCACGCCGUAAACGAUGAGUGCUAAGUGUUGGAGGGUUUCCGCCCUUCAGUGCUGCAGCUAACGCAUUAAGCACUCCGCCUGGGGAGUACGACCGCAAGGUUGAAACUCAAAGGAAUUGACGGGGGCCCGCACAAGCGGUGGAGCAUGUGGUUUAAUUCGAAGCAACGCGAAGAACCUUACCAGGUCUUGACAUCCUUUGACCACUCUAGAGAUAGAGCUUCCCCUUCGGGGGCAAAGUGACAG
This 992-nucleotide ribosomal RNA is filed under the name Enterococcus faecium. RNAcentral describes it as "bacterial SSU rRNA". It matches the Rfam family "Bacterial small subunit ribosomal RNA", at positions 67 to 1037 of the family's 1533-position model. The record is from RNAcentral. Lineage: Bacteria; Bacillati; Bacillota; Bacilli; Lactobacillales; Enterococcaceae.